Molecule: long non-coding RNA, 4430 nt
Organism: Dermochelys coriacea (leatherback sea turtle)
Lineage: Eukaryota; Metazoa; Chordata; Testudines; Dermochelyidae
Exons: 3
Source: RefSeq, a predicted model, not a curated record
UAAGAGUGAGAGGUCAGGCUCAGAGGUUGCUGCCAUUGCUUGUGGCACACCAAGCAGUGGUAAAAGCUGUAUGUAGUUGGAAACUGGUGGUGGGGAAAUGAUCAUGAAUAAAGAACAUGGGUGUUGCACCAGACUGAAAUGUUCCUGAUUUAUGGAGGAGAGGGGCCAAAUUUGGAGGGAGGCAAGAUGUACCCUGUUACAAUUAGGAACAAGGGAACAGAUUUCGACUGAAGUACAAUAUAGGAUGUUCCUCUCAGCAUCUCCCUGAGAUUGUACCGCCCUGAUCCCUACCUCGGAUAAAUCAGUCUACAGGAUGAAGGAUUUCUGGAAGUUGGGAUGGACCAAGACUGACUCUUGGGUCAGCUGUUCUUUUAAGGCCUGGAAGGCUGCCUCACGUUCCCUAGACUGCUGGACUUUGAGGUUAUGACUUCCUCGUUACGUCAGUCAAGGGAACUGCCAAAGUCACAAAAUCUGGUACAAAACACCGGUAAUAUCCAGACAAGGAAGAGACAAAAACAACCAAAAAGAAAAUUGGAUGCUCACCUGGAAAUGAACUGACUCAAGAUCUGACCAAAAAAAUCCACAUAGGAGACAUAGGAUGUCUUGUGUUUCAAACAAAAGGAUUUGGAGAAAGCUAUUCAGCAAGUGGUAAGGCAAGCGGAACACUCACGUGCAAUGUAUUCUCAAAACACACACUACAUUCCAAUUUUCAUGGCAUGAAAUCUUAUUUCUCCUCCAGACUCAAUGUUCUUCAAAUUUUCUAUAUGCGUGAUAUGUCAGUACUGAUCAGAGUAACAUAUCCCGCAUGUUACUCUGAUUGAUCUUACUAACAUGCUGUAUCUGAGCUUAGAUGUCCCAGCUAUUUGGAUGUUGCUGCCCAGCUCCACGUAUUUAAGGCAAUACAAUACACUUGGGUACCACGAGUCAAAAGUGCAAACCCUUACUCACUUUUUACUCAUUCUUUACCAAAGCAAAACUUUCAGACUUCAAGGUCACAUUUGCCUGAGUAAUGACUGAGUAAACAUGGAGUAAGGAGGGCCUCAAGAUUUGACUCAAAUGUAGGUAUGUUAAACAAAAGCACAAGACUAAACAGAAUAAUAAAUGGAAUAAGCCAAGGAAUUAUGGUGGUUUGCAAGUGGCUACGAGUAUCUUAUAUUUGUAACACUUGAAGGUCGCCUUCAUUGACAUUUGAUUGAUAUAAUUUUCCCUUUUCCCUAGUAAAGUAUUUUAACAGCUGUAGAAACAUGCACAACUAAUUUUAUGUUCUCUGAUCUACAGACACUACAGUAGCUGGUGACAUAUCACCUAUUAAGUACAUGGUUUUUAAAGGUAGCCUGACCUCUAGCACAAUGUGCUGUAUUUAAAUGUUAUGACCAGAUUGUACCUAAAAGGCACUGGCCCACAAUGGGUCCCUGGUUGUCCCAGGUGCACAAAGGAAACAAGAACACUGCACGCUCCAUCAGACAGAUAUAGUCUGCUCCACACUCUGCAGCUGGUUCUGCUGGCUGGUGCAAACAGGGAGGUGACUCUCCCACUCUUUCCUGGAGCUGGAGGUGGGUUGCUCUCCUGGAGGUGGUAGGACAAAGCAGUCCCUGCACUAGGAGGAGUGCAGAGACAGAUUGUGCUGCCCUUGGGGCCGGAGUUUCGAGUAAGGAAUCAAGCACUAUUUUGACCUUAAUUAACUAGAGCUCCAUUGUGCCACCCUUACACAGCAGGUCAAAUUCAACCCUGGCAUAACUUGGCAGAAUUAAAUAAAGCUAUGAUCACUGGCACCAGAGUGGAAGUUGGCCCAGAAGCUUUAUGUAUUACCUUAAUUAAAAGCAUGCUUUACACUUCUGCGAUUCUACUUCCAAAAACACAGGUACAGGUCCUGUAGACAUUUUACGCUUUUCCAAACCUUGAACUAUUUUGAGCCUCAGGAGAAGCAUUUACCCAGUCCUUCCUCCAGCUCAGGCAAAAGAAAGGGAGGAUCCACAGUUUCCCAGAUAUACACACAGGGUUUGUUUGUUUGUUUUAUUUCUGUUAAGAGUUUACUACAUUUUCAAGGACCAGGCACAUUGUUAAAGGCAGUGUUGUGUUCAUGUAACUUUUUGUCUUCAACUGAACUGUCUCCAGUAAUGUCAACUAUGUAUUCAUUGUAAUCAGCGACUGUGAAGGUUCUUGUGUGAUAUGUAUCAGGGAGACAGCUCACUCCAUACUACAUUCUAUCCCUGUCUCAACCAAGCUGCUGUACACUAUUAGGCAUUCUUGGCUCCAAAACUGCUUCCCUAAUAAUGUCAUUUGAAAGAGUGCUCAUUUUUUGUCUUUGCCUUGUUUUCAUUUAAAUAAAUCAUAGAGUUAGUGCCAUAAUUAACACAUUCUUCUUCCUGUGAUUAAAGCUGUCUGAAAUGAAAGGCAGGGCAUAGGAUACUGGGUUUUUUACGCUCCCUCCACUAUGAUGAAAUGGCAAGAGGAUUAAGUGUACGUUAACAAGGUAGACUCCACGGCUCCACAUGACAGAGGGUGCCCUGAAAUCCUUCCCACAGCAACAUGCUGGUACACCAGCUCUUCAGGAGCCCUCUGGCACUCUCCCUCAGCAGCAUCCUUCAUUCUGAAUUCUCCUGCAACCAUGCAUACUGGGAUAUGUUGCAUCCCACAGUGCACUGCACAAGAUGCUGCAAACAUUGCAAAUGGAGGCUGGAUGAAUGCAGGUGGGGCGGGAGGGAGGAAGUGAGUUGGUGUGACCAAGGGAAGGAGGGAGGAAAAGAAACAGAAGGAAACAGAUGGUUGGGGAAAUGAAGUGUUAGUAGGUCUGGAGGCAGAUAUAUAGGUGAGAAGAAAAAGUGGGGGAGAUACAUAGGAAGAGGCAAAGAUGUAGUAAAUGAGAAGGGAAUGACAACAAGGGGGAGGAGAAAAAAUGAAUGCACUAAAAUAAAGUAGCAGAAGGAAAAAGGAAGAGAGAAGGUAAAGAAAAAUCAAGAGAAGAAUGUUCAGAGUAGUGAAUUUUAUUAUAGAAUUCCAUGCUCUAGCUUAUAUUAUAUGAUGCCUCUCAAGGCCAGGAAUUAGAGAUUUUAAAAUAUAUUGUUGACCUUUUCUUUCAAUCUUUAGAUUUGGGGCACAUGGGGAAAAAGAGGUGUGCCAUAAUAUUCUUACCAGUUGCACUAAUAUACCUAUAAUUCAGCCCUCGAGUACAGCACACAAAUAAAUGGUUCAAAGUUUGCUGUGCUGGACUUGAUACAUUCCCACAGAAUGGAACGGUGGCUGAUAUACAAAUAUUUCCUCCUGGAGUGAUGCCAUGGAAAGGUUAACUACCGUGCACAUACCACCAGUAACAGUGAGUGCACGAGUUGCAACUAGUAUUUUUAAUACACUGCUGAACAUUUGCUUCCUGAUCACUGCAAGGCUGAAGUCACAUUCGGAGCACUAUUUGAAUAAGCCAAUUAACCAACUUGAAAAGAAAUAUCUUUUUCCUGAGGGAAAAGGAGUUUUAUUUCUAAUCUACAAAAAAGAUUUAAACAUGAAAAUAAAUGACUAUUCCAUUAUGGGAAAGAACGCAAGACCAUGAUUGACCGAGUGAACCCAUGUUUCUUUUGAUGCACCAUGCUACUUAGAAUACAUAACAGGGACAUGUGGCCCCAGUUCAGCAAAGCACAUGUAUAAAUUUAAGCACAGGUUUAAGUCCAGUGAAUGGGGUUUAGGCACAUACUUUAGUGUGUUGCUGAAUUGGGACAAUAAUGAGCAUUUUCCAUUGAGAGGACUUUAAAAAACACAAGGGACCAAAUUCAUUCCAGGUGUAAGCUGAUCUAGAUGUAUAUACAGUGUUGGACCAGUGUUUGCAGGAUCAGCCUACUUUACAGCAGACACUAAAGAUCAGCUCAGGAGAGAAGGGGUGUGUGUUAUGGGCAUAUGUUCUAGAAGAUGCCUGCAAUCUUGGACCGUCUUUGCUGAAUAUUGGUGUACUGAGGUUCAAAAAUGAACGAGCCAGUAGACAUUAAUGAAAGCUCUUUGUGAAAUCAAUCACAGCAAGCUGCAGAGUCUUGCAUAAAUUUCAAGAUAUCUUGUGCUCCUGUGCACUAAACAUAUUUUUAAGCCUUGGUCUAAGUAGUAUCAGUGUAAGUGAAAUCAACUCCGUUUGCUAGGAUGGCCUGUCACUUUCUAAUAAUAUUAAAGUAACCAUAUUAGUAAUCCUGCUUGAUAAACCUCUAAAUGAAAGUCUAAUUGGCAUUUGCUUGUUCUUUCUCUCAGUGUUCAUAUGGGAUAAAAUACAGUGAAAUCAAUACUAAAAUGAGAUUAUUUUUAAAGGGGAUUUUCUGUUGGCAGUAUUGCCUGUAAACAUUAACUCAUUAUUUAUCUAUCCCAAGGAAUGGUAUGCAUUGGAAGACAAUCGGUUUGCAAUGGAAUGUGACCUUGGCUAGUCUACAACAGUUAAAAAAUGCCAUCCCCCUGACGUU